This is a small nucleolar RNA of Syngnathoides biaculeatus (alligator pipefish), 68 nucleotides long. RefSeq annotates it as small nucleolar RNA SNORD61. Lineage: Eukaryota; Metazoa; Chordata; Actinopteri; Syngnathiformes; Syngnathidae. The record is from RefSeq and is a predicted model, not a curated record. The transcript has a single exon.
GCAAUGAUGACUUUGUACUUUUGACUGCCGUGAAAAAAAGAAACAGUCCUCUAAGAAGUUCUGAGCUC